RNAcentral lists this transfer RNA (73 nucleotides) under Erinaceus europaeus (western European hedgehog). It matches the Rfam family "tRNA". From Rfam's summary of the family: Transfer RNA (tRNA) molecules are approximately 80 nucleotides in length. Their secondary structure includes four short double-helical elements and three loops (D, anti-codon, and T loops). The record is from Rfam by way of RNAcentral. Lineage: Eukaryota; Metazoa; Chordata; Mammalia; Eulipotyphla; Erinaceidae.
GCUUGGAGAGCUCACAUGGUAGAGCUUGAGACUUUUAAUCUCAGGGUCAUGGGUUCAUACCCCACGUUGGGCA